GUCCUCGUAGCUCAGCAGGAUAGAGCGCAAAAUUCCUAAUUUUGAGGUCAUGAGUUCGAAUCUCGCCGUGGACACCA
This 77-nucleotide transfer RNA is filed under the name Campylobacter jejuni. RNAcentral's name for it is "tRNA-Arg". It matches the Rfam family "tRNA". Rfam says of the family: Transfer RNA (tRNA) molecules are approximately 80 nucleotides in length. Their secondary structure includes four short double-helical elements and three loops (D, anti-codon, and T loops). Further hydrogen bonds mediate the characteristic L-shaped molecular structure. tRNAs have two regions of fundamental functional importance: the anti-codon, which is responsible for specific mRNA codon recognition, and the 3' end, to which the tRNAs corresponding amino acid is attached (by aminoacyl-tRNA synthetases). tRNAs cope with the degeneracy of the genetic code in two manners: having more than one tRNA (with a specific anti-codon) for a particular amino acid; and 'wobble' base-pairing, i.e. permitting non-standard base-pairing at the 3rd anti-codon position. Lineage: Bacteria; Pseudomonadati; Campylobacterota; Epsilonproteobacteria; Campylobacterales; Campylobacteraceae. The record is from RNAcentral.